This 253-nucleotide ribosomal RNA is filed under the name uncultured bacterium. RNAcentral's name for it is "partial 16S ribosomal RNA". It matches the Rfam family "Bacterial small subunit ribosomal RNA", at positions 524 to 776 of the family's 1533-position model. The record is from RNAcentral.
UACAGAGGUCUCAAGCGUUGUUCGGAAUUAUUGGGCGUAAAGGGUGCGUAGGCGGUUUGGUAAGUCUGAUGUGAAAUCUAUGGGCUCAACUCAUAGUCUGCAUCGGAAACUGCCGGGCUUGAGUGUGGGAGAGGUGAGUGGAAUUUCCGGUGUAGCGGUGAAAUGCGUAGAUAUCUGGAGGAACACCGGUGGCGAAGGCGACAUCCUGGACCGGUAUUGACGCUGAGGCGCGAAAGCGUGGGGAGCGAACAGG